AGGACGAACGCUGGCGGCGUGCCUAACACAUGCAAGUCGAGCGGGGUCCAUCCGGUAGCAAUACUGGGGAAGACCUAGCGGCGAACGGGUGAGUAACACGUGAGAAACCUGCCCCGAAGUCUGGGAUAACCCGAGGAAACUCGAGCUAAUACCGGAUGCCUUCUUCUGAUCGCAUGGUCGGAUGAAGAAAGAUUUAUCGCUUCGGGAGGGUCUCGCGGCCUAUCAGCUAGUUGGCGGGGUAACGGGCCCACCAAGGCGUCGACGGGUAGCUGGUCUGAGAGGACGAUCGGCCACACUGGGACUGAGACACGGCCCAGACUCCUACGGGAGGCAGCAGUGGGGAAUAUUGCGCAAUGGGCGAAAGCCUGACGCAGCAACGCCGCGUGCGGGAUGAAGGCCUUCGGGUUGUAAACCGCUUUCAGUGGGGACGAAUUCAGACGGUACCCACAGAAGAAGCCCCGGCCAACUACGUG
RNAcentral lists this ribosomal RNA (473 nucleotides) under uncultured bacterium. Its description in RNAcentral is "bacterial SSU rRNA". It matches the Rfam family "Bacterial small subunit ribosomal RNA", at positions 26 to 507 of the family's 1533-position model. The record is from RNAcentral.